GACGAACGCUGGCGGCGUGCUUAACACAUGCAAGUCGAACGGAAAGGCCCUGCUUUUGUGGUGUUCUCGAGUGGCGAACGGGUGAGUAACACGUGAGUAACCUGCCCUUGACUUUGGGAUAACUUCAGGAAACUGGGGCUAAUACCGGAUAGGAGCUCCUGCUGCAUGGUGGGGGUUGGAAAGUUUCGGCGGUUGGGGAUGGACUCGCGGCUUAUCAGCUUGUUGGUGGGGUAGUGGCUUACCAAGGCUUUGACGGGUAGCCGGCCUGAGAGGGUGACCGGCCACAUUGGGACUGAGAUACGGCCCAGACUCCUACGGGAGGCAGCAGUGGGGAAUAUUGCACAAUGGGCGGAAGCCUGAUGCAGCAACGCCGCGUGCGGGAUGACGGCCUUCGGGUUGUAAACCGCUUUCGCCUGUGACGAAGCGUGAGUGACGGUAAUGGGUAAAGAAGCACCGGCUAACUACGUG
Molecule: ribosomal RNA, 468 nt
Filed under: uncultured bacterium
Lineage: Bacteria
Description: partial 16S ribosomal RNA
Rfam family: Bacterial small subunit ribosomal RNA
Source: RNAcentral